GUCUCACCCGCAGCCUGCAGGGACCCCGCACACAGGGUGCUCCCUCCUCUCCUGGGGGCUGCUUGAUAAUUCCAAGGCACGUUGCCCCCACUGGCCACACUGACCCUUCAGCGAUGGCCCCAUGGCCCUGCAGAAUCGCCUCCCCGGGGUGCGGAGCGGCCUGAGACUGUCCUGGGAUCGUCUGCCCCAGGCCAAGGCUCUGUCGUGGCACCAGGGACUUCGGGAAAGGGGGACAGUCGCUGGUGGGCCAGGCCUCGUCGGGCGAGCCCCAGAAGGGAGCAGAGAUGGUGUGAAGCUCGGAAGGGGUCCGAUGCAGCGGAGACCCUCUGCUGUGGGCUUGGAGGACGGAGCAGGCCAGGCAGCGAGGCGCAGGGGUGGCUGUGAGGAGCUGACACUUGGCAGCGGGGCACUGGGACCCUGGCCCCCAGCUGCAUGGAACCGAAUUCUGGAGCCAUCGAGUGAACUCGGGAGCCAGCUGCAAGCCGUGGAGGAGACAUCUCGCCAUUGGCCUGGGGAGACCCUGGGCGGCAAAGCCAGCUCGCUGGCCGGGCUGAGGCGGCUAAGCCUGCCACCACGUGUCGCGCCAACGCACAGGCCAGGGGGCACCGACCCGCGUCCCCUCACUGCCGGGCCGGAGUCCUUCCAGUGUCCCUCUGUGGGACGUCGGGCGGCCGGCUGUGAGCAGGACUGGCCGCUGGGCGUGCACACCGGGCGAGCGUGCUGCACGCGUGACAGCUGCUACUCCCCUCUGCAGCAGCCGACACGGCGGGGGGCACGUGAAAGCCAAGGGACCUUGUGAUGACUGUUCCCUCAUGCACCCAACCGGUCCCUGAGGUUCGGUGAACCGGGGCCUGAGCACGUGCAUUUAACCCCCGGACACAGGCCCGGGGGACUCCGGCCCGCAGACAGCGGCCGCUUCCUGGCAGCCCCGCUGCGCUCCUCCCGGCUCCUCAUCCAGGAAGACGGGGCUGGAGCAGCCAGUGUGUCCGCUGACUCACAGCCGGGAAGGUGGCCUUGCAGAGGGAGGGGAGCAGCUGGCAGUCCCUGGGGGCCCCGGAGCUCAGCUCAGCUUCCUGGCAGCAGAGCCGGAGGGGUGGGGAGGGGAGGGGCGGGCAGGCGAGUCCGCAGAGAGAACAGACACCGCCUGCAUUUUGCUUUAAAACUUCCGGACCCGGCCGCUUCACAGCUCACCGAGCUUCUGCUCUUUCCUCCCAGCGCCCCGUGGCCUGACCCCCCACCCCUGCCUGCCAUCGAAUAGGAGAGAAAAAUCCCCAAAUGCCCCACAGGCCUCUAGCCCGAUUUGACAGCAGGGUGGACACUGGGGGCGCAGGGCACGCGGGCUCAUCCCCAGCUGUCCCUAGCCGAGGCCUGACCAUUCCUGGGCACCCCGUGUGCAGAGGAGACAACACAGGGAACAACCUCGAAGCCGAACAGGAAGAGAUGGAGGUUUGGAAAGGGAGCCGGCUCCGUGGCCCUGUGAGAACAAGUUGCCCAUGUUUGCAGGCGCCUGUCCACACGUACCUCGGACGAUGUGUUUCCCGCACGCGCACCGCGAGCAGCCGCCCUGGGCCCCGUACACCUCCAGGGGUACCCUGCACGGAAGCCCCAGGACCUCACCCUGGCAGUCCUGCCCCCAGGGGACACUGGGCAGUGUCUGGGCACGUCUGUGGUUGUCACACUGGGGGGGGGGCAGGGAUGCCGCUCGGCACCCUGCAGUGCCCAGGACGGCCCCACAGAGAACGACCGCCGGCCAACGCCAGCAGUGGCCAAGGGGACCCUGCUCUGAUCUCUGGAAACGUGCACACGGCGUGGACAGCACACGCUGGAUGCUGGGGUGCUAGGGCCAGGGCGGGUAUGUGCUUCCAUGUGUCCCCGCCAGCGGGGAUGGGCGCCCCCGGCCCCCAGCAAGGCCGCCCCAGAGAGGGGCCUGAGGGGGCCGCGCUGGCACUGGAGCCUCACUGGGCCUUCCCAGCCCUCCGUGUAUCUGUGACCUUUUGGUGGGGCCGCGGGGGCCAUGGGAGAAGGCACGCGCCCGCAGCAGAAUGGCAUCUCGUGACCGUCACCAGUCCCUUUGUGUGCAGGCUAAAUCGGUCCCUCGGAGACUAUAUUUAGAAAGAGCCAGAGAACAGGAUGAACGAGGCGCCCACAGGCCAGGGGGCAACGGAGCCGCGGUCCUGGCAGCUGGAGCGCGGAGCCCAGAACCAACGGCUGUGGGCGUGGGUGGACAAUGAGCCUGCGGUGACACAGGGUGACGGAGCGUGACGGUGCAGCCGACGCGCGGGCAGAAGAACAGGCCCUCUCUGUCCACCCAGAGGGCGUGUGAGAGUGUGCAAGCCCGGGACCCGGGCUGCGCCCCACUGCGCUCCCGCGCUCAGCUUCCCGGCACGGAGGACGUGGCGUCACCCUGGCCCCCAGCGCGGCUCGGGAGCCAAAGGGCAGGAGGGCCGGGGACGGCAGGGGCAGAUCCAGGCCUCCCCACACCGGCUCAGGCGGGUCCUCUUCCACCUGGGCCUGGACAGACUCCUGCACACUCUGCAAAGCCCGUGAAGCGCUGGCCCCCCUGAGAAGCCCCUAGCCUAUUGUCCAGCACGGCCAGGCCACUAAGACCUCUCCUUGGACAUUCCUUGGGCACUGUAUGCCUUUCCCGCAGCUGCUGUCACAAGUUACUGCCAACUUGGUGGCUGAAAACCAUACACAUUUAUUCUCUCUCAGUCCUGGCACGGGCCUCACGGGCCAAACCCAGGAGGGGCAGGGCCGGGCCAUCCCGAGGCUCCGGGGAGGACCAUUUCUGGCCGUUUCCAGCUUCUAGAGUCACCGCAUCCCUAGCGAGUGGCCCCUUCCCCCUUGUCACAGGCGGCGGUGCAGCCUCGUUCAUCUCUCUGUGACCCUCCUGCCUCCGCCUUAUGAGGACCCGUGAGGACGCUGGGCCCCCGGAACUGAAGGUUAUGACUUGGUCUCAGGGAUUCGUGUGUGGUCAUUUCUGGGGACAUGGCCUGGAUGCCGGGCACCAAAGCGCCACCUAGGUGGAGGGGCUGUUGGCAGCACUGCAGGUGCUCACUGAGGCUCCUUCCCAGAGUUCCCUGUCCCCAGGACCAAUCUCUCUCUCAGGACAAGGGCCCCAGAACCAGACUGCCUGGGGCAGAGCACUUGGCCACACCUGGUGGCCUGCCCCGGGCACACAUGCCCUCGAGGUCAAACCUGGCUCUGGGUCAUCGGCCGCAGCUUCCUGCUUAGGCUCUGGGUCACUGGCUGACACCCCGGGUAUUGGAGGUUCGACAGUGCGCCACGCAGUGGCCAGCGGCCCCUGAGCGUGCGUGGGGUCUGCAGGGAUGCCCGCCCCACCUCCGAUGCUGCUGGAAAGCCCUGGAAUGAACGGGCCCACAGAGGCCACUCCCAAGGGCCAGCUGUAGGUGGGUCACGUUAAAAAUGAAAAACCAAAGCAGCCAACAGUGGGAUUAAAUGAACUGUUUUAGAGUCUCACUCAGGGUGUUUCUGUCCCCACUAGGGGACACUGGGCAACGUCUGGGGACAUCUGUGGCCAUCACAAGUUGGGGUGCUCCUAGCAUCGAGGGGGGGGCAGGGAUACUGCCCAACCCCCCACAAGGCCCAGGAUGCCCCCUGAGAGUGGCCCAGCCCCACUGUCAGCAGGGCUGAGGGGGACCCUGGUCUUAGGCAUGUUCCAAUCCAGGGGCCAGUUUCUGUGAAAAGUGUCCCUUGUUUUGGUCCCACCAGGUCCAAGGGAGAAGCCAGGUGGGCUGCAGCCCCCUGACGUGGCUCCCAGGCACCAGCUCCUGGCCCACGCCACGAAUCGUCAGUGUCCGGGCAGGUCCCGACCCCUGAGGGGCCCCAGGUACGGGAAGGACGGUGCCAACCCACGUGUCUGGCUGGAUGCUUGACCCCCAAACACAGCAAUGUGGGGGAUGGGGAGAGAGAAGCAAACGUUUGGGUCCAGGACGCGGGAUUCGGCCAGGGCAGGCAGAGGGCUUCGCGAGGCCAGCACCAAGGUGCCGGGCUGCGUCCUCCUCUGGGGACACGGACGGGGAAGGAUCCACACUGUGGUGCGAGGCAUGGCACUUGGUGUCUGUCUCCUGUGGAACCUUUCAGGGAAAGACAGCCGCAGCUGCCCCGUGGAGGACACUGGUCACCGAGCCCCAGCGACCGGGGGGGGCAGGACCUGCAGUGCUUGGGGUCGUGGGUGGCGGCGCUGAGUUCGCAGAACCCCCUGUGACGUGAGCUCGUCUCAGCUGCCCAGUGGCCUCUGCCCAAAACAGGGUUUCAGUGACCUGGACGGAAUUCCUAACAAAGACUGAGUGUCCGCUUAUGCUCAUGCCGACGUCCCCUUUCUCGUCCGUCCAAAUUCCUCACGCCUGUUCUUGUUACUGCAGAGACGCCGCCAGGCCCCAGGCUGCCUGGAAAUGCUCAGGUCUGCCCCGGGCCUUUCCUGGAAGGGGCCGGGUGCCGCCGCUCAGCCACUGUACGACUUCAGAAGGGCCGUUCGGGCUGAAGCGGGCACCCAGGAAGCGGGGAGGAUGCACAGGACUCAGGAGGGUGGUUUCGUGCCAGCCGGCGGGGAAAGGGAGCACCUGUGCUUCGGCCCAGCUGGCGAGGGUCGGGGCGAGCCCUGGCAGGGACGGUGGCCUCCGGUGACAGGCGGCCAGCGCUCGGGGCACAGCACAGCCCUCCAGGAGAGAGACGAGGGCUGUGCUGACACCCGAGGGAGGCUGGAAGCUGGCGGUUCUUUCCCAUUCGAGCCUCCAGGUAAGAAAGGAGCCUGGGUGACACCUGGGUGGUGGCCUGGUGAGACCCAGCUGCUGUCCCCGUCCUGGCUCUCCCAGGGAAAGUGACCACGGGCCUGGAGAGUUCUGAGGGCCCAUUAGAUGGCCAAGUGACCAUGCAGCCUGGGAAGAGGGUGACGGUUGAUUUUACAGGUCCACUUGCCCGGGCCACGGGGUGCCCCAAUAUGUGGUCAGACAUUAUUCUGGAUGCUUCGGUGAGGGUGUUUCUGGAUGAGACUAUCGAUUAAACCGGUGGAUGAUGAGAAAAGCAGACUGCCCUCCCUAACACGGGUGGGCCUCGCCCAAUCAGUUGAAGGCGUGACCAGAACAGAGAACGGACUCCUGGAGCAAACGGGCUCCUCCGGCGACGGUUUCCAGACUCGAACUGCACCACGGGUUCUCCUCGGUCCCCAGCGGCAGCGUUUGGACCUGCUGGUCGCCACGAUCGGUUCCUUAAAAUAAAUCUCUGUGUACAGAC
This is a long non-coding RNA of Pteropus alecto (black flying fox), 5253 nucleotides long. RefSeq lists it as uncharacterized. The transcript is spliced from 2 exons. The record is from RefSeq and is a predicted model, not a curated record. NCBI's taxonomy places the organism in Eukaryota, Metazoa, Chordata, Mammalia, Chiroptera, Pteropodidae.